This 497-nucleotide ribosomal RNA is filed under the name uncultured bacterium. RNAcentral describes it as "partial 16S ribosomal RNA". It matches the Rfam family "Bacterial small subunit ribosomal RNA", at positions 28 to 507 of the family's 1533-position model. The record is from RNAcentral.
GAUGAACGCUGGCGGCGUGCCUAAUACAUGCAAGUCGAGCGAACAGACGAGGAGCUUGCUCCUCUGACGUUAGCGGCGGACGGGUGAGUAACACGUGGAUAACCUACCUAUAAGACUGGGAUAACUUCGGGAAACCGGAGCUAAUACCGGAUAAUAUAUUGAACCGCAUGGUUCAAUAGUGAAAUACGGUUUUGCUGUCACUUAUCGAUGGAUCUCCGCCGCAUUAGCUAGUUGGUAAGGUAACGGCUUAUCAAGGCAACUAUGCGUAGCCGACCUGAGAGGGUGAUCGGCCACACUGGAACUGAGACACGCUCCAGACUCCUACGGGAGGCAGCAGUAGGGAAUCUUCCGCAAUGGUCGAAAGCCUGACGGAGCAACGCCGCGUGAGUGAUGAAAGUCUUCGGAUCGUAAAACUCUGUUAUUAGUGAAGAACAAAUGUGUAAGUAACUAUGCACGUCUUGACGGUACCGAAUCAGAAAGCCACGGCUAACUACGUG